GCCCGCAUAGCUCAAACGGUAGAGCAGCGGACUCUUAAUCCGUUGGUUCAAGGUUCGAUUCCUUGUGCGGGUA
Molecule: transfer RNA, 73 nt
Filed under: Candidatus Omnitrophus magneticus
Lineage: Bacteria; Pseudomonadati; Candidatus Omnitrophota
Rfam family: tRNA
About the family: Transfer RNA (tRNA) molecules are approximately 80 nucleotides in length. Their secondary structure includes four short double-helical elements and three loops (D, anti-codon, and T loops). Further hydrogen bonds mediate the characteristic L-shaped molecular structure. tRNAs have two regions of fundamental functional importance: the anti-codon, which is responsible for specific mRNA codon recognition, and the 3' end, to which the tRNAs corresponding amino acid is attached (by aminoacyl-tRNA synthetases). tRNAs cope with the degeneracy of the genetic code in two manners: having more than one tRNA (with a specific anti-codon) for a particular amino acid; and 'wobble' base-pairing, i.e. permitting non-standard base-pairing at the 3rd anti-codon position.
Source: Rfam by way of RNAcentral